This 253-nucleotide ribosomal RNA is filed under the name uncultured bacterium. RNAcentral describes it as "partial 16S ribosomal RNA". It matches the Rfam family "Bacterial small subunit ribosomal RNA", at positions 524 to 776 of the family's 1533-position model. The record is from RNAcentral.
UACGAAGGGGGCUAGCGUUGUUCGGAAUCACUGGGCGUAAAGCGCACGUAGGCGGAUUGGUUAGUCAGGGGUGAAAGCCCAGAGCUCAACUUUGGAACUGCCUUCGAUACUGGAGAUCUGGAGUAUGAUAGAGGCGAGUGGAAUUGCGAGUGUAGAGGUGAAAUUCGUAGAUAUUCGCAGGAACACCAGUGGCGAAGGCGACUCGCUGGAUCAUUGCUGACGCUGAGACGCGAAAGCGUGGGGAGCAAACAGG